RNAcentral lists this unclassified non-coding RNA (3117 nucleotides) under Hevea brasiliensis (rubber tree). The record is from RNAcentral. Lineage: Eukaryota; Viridiplantae; Streptophyta; Magnoliopsida; Malpighiales; Euphorbiaceae.
UUGCCAGAGAAAUCAAUUGCCCAACAGACCCAAGAGAGAAACACCUGAAAUUCAAGAUUCCUCUCUGCCAUGUCCAAACCUUGCACUAGAAAACUCCUCAAACGAAACCUUUUUAAUUUAUGAUAGUCAGAGAACUAACCUUGUGCAUUGGUCAACAAUUCAUCAACAUACUCCUGAUAGAAACAUAUGCAACUACAAUAAUGAAAAUCUCGGCGCCCCAUUUUCCAUGAGCUUUAAUUAAGAGACCAAAGCUUGCUUUUGAGCAUUAGAUCACCAUCUUCCAUAAUGCAGAAUCAUUCACAAUAUUACUGAAAAGAAUAUGGAUGCAAGUGUCAGCUUAUAAAAGAUUCUAAAAUUCAAUCAAUUGGAUCCAUACCAAUCACUGGCCAUUCACUUGCAUAACGCCACAUAUUCCACAAUAUGAUAAUGAAUACAUUUAAGAGGAAAAAUAAGAAAUAAGGAAAAAUAUGGCAAGUGCACAGCCAUAAGAAGAUAAAUGAGUUUGCGGCUUCAAGCACUUAAGGCCUGACUGCCUGGAUCUGCACACAGGGGCACACUCAAGGGAACCCCUACUAUCCUAUUUGAAUAGGUGUUAUGAGAAGCAUGAAGAUAUGAGCAAGAGCACCGCUUGAGUUCCACCCAGAUGAGUCAUAUUGACCGUGUUGUCUACAUACAUGGGACAUUGGAUCACCGUCUAGCAACACAGAAUCUGCAUUCCCCUCCCACAAGUGCAGCUCCAGAUUUAUGUAUGUUCGAUAUAAAUAAUAUACACAAGUUUCAGGGUGAACAGCAAAUCAAAUAACAGGCAGCUCUCUCAAAUGGCUGUCAGUACUAGAUGUUAUAUUCAGCAUAGAGCAAAUAAAAUAGAUAAUGCAAGCAAGUACCCUUUCAACUUGACAGAAGUGUACAUCCCUUUGCUUUCAAUUUUGAUUCCAGACCAAAAAAUUUCAAUCCUGACACCACCAAGUCUGCUGUCUUCCUCUUCAUAUGUUCAAUUAAUAUUUCAUCAUAAACAAUUGUCUUGGCUUCUGUCAGAAGUUUGCGCUCUCUCAAAUUUGUAAACACUUUCCGUGCCUCUUCCAAUGUCCCAUGCCUGCACAUGCCAGAGAUAAUAGCUGAAUGUAUGACCUCAUUGGGAGGACAACCCUCCUGCAUCAUCUCAUUCAGCACUUCGAUCACUUUUUCAGCCUCACCUAAUUUACAUACAUGAAGAAUUGUAAGAGUGUACUUGAACUCCAUGGGCCCACUUGUAACAUUGCCUAAGCAGUCACGAACCAGCAUCAUGGCUUCAUCAAUCUCUCCAAUGUUACAAAGCCCUUUAGCAAGAGAACAAUAGGCAGCAACAGAUGGGACACCAGACAUCUCAAUUAUUUUAUUAUGACACAUACAAGCCUCUUUCAUAUUUCCAUCUUCAACAAAACAUAUAAUUGCAAUGCUGUAAGUAGUUGAGUCAGGUUCAAAAUUCAAAUUCUUCAUUUCAUUGAAAAGUGAUAAUGCCUUUUUCACCUCACCAAUCUUGAGGAGUCCCUCCAUAAGAAUAUUGUAGAUUGGAACGCUGCUAUAACCUUUCACUUUUAAGUCCUCAAACACAUCCAAGGCCAACAUAAUCCUUUCCUUCUUCCCAACCACAAAUGAGAAGAAUUUGGAAAUAUCAUCAAUAACAGAAAAUCCCAACUUAUCCAUCUCCUCAAGCAGCUUGCAAAAAUCAUCCAUCCUUUUCAUCUCCGCAUAAGACACCAACAUGGGAUUCACUGUCUUAAAGUCUGGCUCAAGACCCUCUUGAUCCAAAACUUGAAAAAGAUUAUGAGCCUUAUCUACCCGCUUCACAUUACAGAGACCUUCAAUAAGUGAAUUAUAAAUUCUCAAAUCAGCCCUAUAGCCAGAAUCAACCAAAUCCUUGAACAAAUCACAAGCUGAUCCAACCUUUCCAUUCUCCACGAAUGCCUCAAUCAGUAUUCCAUAAAUCGCUCUAUCAAUCAAAAUUCCCUUCUCCUUCAUCUCCUUAAACAACUCAUACCCCUUCACUACCCUCCCUCCUUUAUACAACCCGGUAACUAAAGUCACAUAAGCCAUCACAUCUGGAUUCACCCCAUCUUUCUUCAUCUCCUCCCAAACCUGCAAACUUCCAUCUAAAUUACCUUCUCCAACCAACACCUUGACCAUAGCUGUGUAUGCAAAAACAUCCGGUUUACACACAUUCAUCCUCAUUCUUUCUAAAAGUUCCAUCGCUUCCUCUAUCCUGUUGACCUUACACAAUCCCUUGAUCAGCGUCAUAUAUGUAACACUGUCUUCCACCAACCCGUUACUCUUAAAAUCCUCAUACACUGAUAAUGCUAAAUCUAAAUGACCCGUUUUAAUUAAAGCAUCAAUAACUCUAUUAUACAAGAAAGUACGGGGUUUGACACCGAAUUUCUUCAUCUUUUGAUAUACAUAAUAAACUCUAAGUCCCCUAUUCGCAUCAGAAUGCAUUCUAAUUAAAAUCUCAAAUUGUUUCUCGGUAGGUGGCUUCCCUUGUGAAUCCAUUAACUCAGGUAACUGAUCAGCAGCGCGAAAUAAGCUGCUUCUAUUCAAACAAUAAGCAAAAGCAUUAUAAGAAGCGAAAUUGUGGUUGUACCCUUUCUGCUUACCUGCCCAGUGAAAGAAUUUGGACGCCAGGUGAGGGUUAGUUUCGACUUUCAGCACUUCGGCAACCAGGUCCGGCGUCACUCGGCGAAGCUUGCGUAAUUCAGUUACCACGGGUGGGCCCCAAUGGUUGCCGUUCUUCCGAAAGGCGUCGAGGAUGAAGCGAGAGAUUGGAGAGAGGCGUUGGGAAACUCUGGUAAGGGAAUGGUUGGGGGCUAAAGGGGGGGACUUGGAGCGUGGUGGAAGUGAUGGAUUUUGGGGGUCCCAUUUUUGGAGGUCAAAUGGUGCAAAAUGAGAAGUGGGUUUUGGUGGUUUUAUUAUCUGGCGGUUGGAGAAGAGGCCUCCGCGGACGACAGGACGGUUUUGGGAAGGCUUACGAUGGCCGUAGAAGAAGUAUGGUUUAACAGGUUUUGAUGGUGGCAUUUCGUCGGUUAUUUGAUCCCUUCCAUUUCUCAAAUCUCCGAGGGUUUCAGUUUAAGCAGAGGGAUACUAAUU